CAGUAGCCGCGGUAAGACAGAGGAUGCAAGCGUUAUCCGGAAUGAUUGGGCGUAAAGCGUCUGUAGGUGGCUUUUCAAGUCCGCCGUCAAAUCCCAGGGCUCAACCCUGGACAGGCGGUGGAAACUACCAAGCUAGAGUACGGUAGGGGCAGAGGGAAUUUCCGGUGGAGCGGUGAAAUGCGUUGAGAUCGAAAAGAACACCAACGACGAAAGCACUCUGCUGGGUCGACACUGACACUGAGAGACGAAAGCUAGGGGAGCAAAUGGGAUUAGAUACCCCAGUAGUCCCUGUCUCUUAUAC
This 301-nucleotide ribosomal RNA is filed under the name uncultured bacterium. RNAcentral describes it as "partial 16S ribosomal RNA". It matches the Rfam family "Bacterial small subunit ribosomal RNA", at positions 509 to 807 of the family's 1533-position model. The record is from RNAcentral.